CUCUGCAGCAUAGAGGUGGACUUACAAUGAUUUAGAAUAUUAUAAAUGCAGAAAUUGUUUAAUGAUUGUGUUUAUACAGUAGAUGGCACUAUGAUGACUACAAUACUGGAUGAUUGAGUCAUGAGAUGAGAAGAAGCUUGGGAAUAGAGUAAUGUGAGGUCAACACUCCAAAAUGCAUUGUGAAAGAUGGCAACAGUCCAAAGCACAUCAGCAAAAUUGCUCAAGAGUUCCUAAAGAAUGAAAAUAUAUAAAAACUAUGAUUUGGCCAAGUGUAUCGCCUAAUGUAAAACUAACAAAAAAAGAAACAAGGGUGCAAACUGUCCCCUGCAGCAAAGAACAGCUGAAAUCACUCUGCAUAAAGUUUAUAAAAGGCUUGCUUCUCCAGGAGAAGGAAAUCUUAGUCUUAGAAAGUAUUUGAAAACGGACUUUCAUUGCAAAUUUAAGACACUUCUGGUUGAGAGGUUUGUGCUUUUCAUAUGACCGGAUAGAUUAGAAAAGUGAUCAGAGGGAAGACCCAGUAGUUCUCAAAUGCAAAUAGUCCAGUUCAGAUUUAAACAGUAUAGAUCAUAUGAGUUUUAUUUUGCUUUACUGUGUUCUGGAUGGCAAGUCAAUGAGGGAGACGAUGCAUAGAAGAUGGAAUUUAGUCGCUCUAGCAAGAGGUCUGCCUUGGAGUCUCUUCUUUAAUGGGAAGUAUCUGGAGGACCCAGAGGGCAUUCUGAUCUUGCUGUUGGUCAACGUCUUGCUCUAUGUAUACUUAUACUGAUAAUGUUAUGUCUCAAAGGAAACGUUUGAUACCAUCAGCCCUGAACUGUCCCACCUGUCGCAUCUGGUAACAUGGGCUGCCACUGUGCCUUGCUCAAAGACCCAGCAUGUCAGUCCAUGAGGCCGAACCAGGAACCAUGAAGCUUCUCCAGGACAUCAAUAACAAGAGGAUCUGGAAACUCCCCUUUAUAAGAAACUACAACCUGGAAGGU
This is a long non-coding RNA of Fundulus heteroclitus (mummichog), 974 nucleotides long. RefSeq lists it as uncharacterized. NCBI's taxonomy places the organism in Eukaryota, Metazoa, Chordata, Actinopteri, Cyprinodontiformes, Fundulidae. The record is from RefSeq and is a predicted model, not a curated record. The transcript has 3 exons.